GCAGAGAUUCCGCGAUUGAGUGUGUGGUAAAUUAACAAAAGCUUUAUCAAAAUAAACUAAAAGUGAAAAACAGCGGAAAAAAUUAUUCAGACAAAAAUGUAGCCAAAGUCUCCGCUUUUCUCCACACAAACACCACCACUGUCUGUCUGCGCUGCUCUCAGCAACCUCUCUUCCGCCAAACACAGCUCCCUCCCGGCCACGAACUGACAAUGGCAGAAGUUGCUAAGGGACAACCAAAGCUCUGACUUGAACCCCAACAAACAUUUCUGGAGAGACCCUGACGGUCUCCGACGGUCCCCAUCCAACCAACCUGAGAAGAUUCACAAAGAAGAAUGUCAGAAAAUUCUCCAAUCCAGGAAGUCAACGUAAAACUCAUAUUACUUUCAUGAGGUACCACAAUUUUAUUUUUGCUACAUUAACCAGCAUUAUAUUGCUGUGGUAACUAUUGGGAUGAUUUUUAAAAAGACUGCAGAAGUAAAAUAGC
Molecule: non-coding RNA, 484 nt
Organism: Paramisgurnus dabryanus
Lineage: Eukaryota; Metazoa; Chordata; Actinopteri; Cypriniformes; Cobitidae
Source: RefSeq, a predicted model, not a curated record